RNAcentral lists this ribosomal RNA (253 nucleotides) under uncultured bacterium. Its description in RNAcentral is "partial 16S ribosomal RNA". It matches the Rfam family "Bacterial small subunit ribosomal RNA", at positions 524 to 776 of the family's 1533-position model. The record is from RNAcentral.
UACGGAGGGUGCGAGCGUUGUCCGGAAUCACUGGGCGUAAAGGGCGCGUAGGUGGCGCGACAAGUCAACGGUGAAAGCCCGGGGCUCAACCCCGGGUCGGCCGUCGAUACUGUUGGGCUUGAGCACUGUAGAGGCAGAUGGAAUUCCGGGUGUAGCGGUGGAAUGCGUAGAGAUCCGGAAGAACACCGAUGGCGAAGGCAGUCACCUGGACCUGUACUGACGCUCAUGCACGAAAGCGUGGGGAGCAAACAGG